AUCAUUUUGUAGUUCAUGAGCAUGAUGAUUGGGUGUUCACUCGAAUGUGUGAAAUGUGCCACCCUGAACCUUGUUAUGAUGUUGGCUUGGUAAAACA
This is a small nucleolar RNA of Callithrix jacchus (white-tufted-ear marmoset), 97 nucleotides long. NCBI's taxonomy places the organism in Eukaryota, Metazoa, Chordata, Mammalia, Primates, Cebidae. The record is from Ensembl.